Molecule: transfer RNA, 84 nt
Filed under: Nemania diffusa
Lineage: Eukaryota; Fungi; Ascomycota; Sordariomycetes; Xylariales; Xylariaceae
Also listed under: 1 other name
Description: tRNA-Asn
Source: RNAcentral
UUCUCUGUGUCGCAAUUGGCUAGCGAGUUCGACUGUUAUGAACAGAUAAUUGAGAGGUUGACAGUUUCAGCCUGUCCGGGGGAG